Desmophyllum pertusum is the source of this 76-nucleotide non-coding RNA. NCBI's taxonomy places the organism in Eukaryota, Metazoa, Cnidaria, Anthozoa, Scleractinia, Caryophylliidae. The record is from the annotation of a GenBank genome assembly.
GGCCUGUUGGUCUAGUGGCAUGAUUCUCGCUUUGGGUGCGUGCGAGAGGUCCCGGGUUCGACUCCCGGACAGGCCC